AAGAUGAUACACUCCACUCCUAGACUAAGCCAUGCAAGUCAAGAAGUUCCAUCCACAGAGAUCUCCAUUAUGCACAUGUUACGCAAUGGACUGCAGUCUGGCGACUCCUAGGGAUAGCUGGAGCAACACUUCGGUCAACACCGAAGAUGUCCUCGUAAGAGUGAUGGACCCCUUAUAGGGGCUGUCCUUGCGGCGUGUGUCCUAUCAGCUAGUAGUUAGGUUAAACUCCUUUCUAGGCUAUGACGGGUAACGGGCGGUAUAUGUCGAACUGCCGGAGAAGGCGCCUCAGAGAUUGCGACUAUGUCUACGGACAGCAGCAGGCGCGGAACUUAUCCACUUCAACUAGAGACUUCAGAUAUGGUAAGGAGUUGUUCCCACGUGGUUUACCACUGGGAUAGGUUAUGUACUAGACGUACAUUAGAAACCAAGUCGAGGGCCAGUCUGGUGCCAGCAGCUGCGGUAAUUCCAGCUCGACGAGUGUCAUAUUAUAUGAUGCGGUUCCAAGCUCGUAGCCACCUUUGGACACUUUGUCUUGCUCGUCAGGGCAUUCAUCGUGGACAAACUAGGAUUGCUUAGGGUAUGGCUCAUGAAUACCUUAACUCGAGAUGGACUCCCAACUAGACCUAGCUAGUACAUCUCAUUGACCACAUCAGAGGUUAUCCAUACUACUUGGCGAGCGGUGAAAUGUGUUGACCCUUGUAGGAUGAUCGAAGGCGAAAGCAGAUAACCAUGGUGUCGGUGUCGGCCAAGAGCAGUUCUCAAGGGACAGAACCGGAUUAGAGACCCGGGUAUGCUUGAGAGGAAAAUAUGUCGUCCAAGCCCAGCAGCAAUGCAUGGUUGGAUGAGAAAUCGUAGACCCAGGCCUCUGGGGGUAUUACGACCGCAAGAUUGAAACUUGAAGGAAUUGACGGAAGCUUACACAAGGAGUGGAGCCUGUGGCUCAAUUUGAAUCAACACGGGGCAACUCACCAAGGUAAGGUGGGCGUUGGGACUGACAAUCUAAAGACAUUUCCGGAUGGAACUUAUGGUGGUGCAUGGCUGUUGGUGGUGCGUGGGAUGAUUCGUCCUAGUUGAUUCUGCCAACGAGCGAGACUUCCACAGAUCAUUGGUCUCUCAAGGUCAAUGAGAUGGAUGUCUCUCACUACGAGUGAUGAAAUAGGAAGCAAUAACAAGUCCGUGAUGUCCUUUAGAUAUCCUGGGUUGCACGCGUGCAACAAUGAGCUUGGUUGAACAUGAAGCCAAGUUGUCAGAACUAGCGAAUCCUGAGACCGGAUUGCCGUAGUUGGAGUUGGGUAUUGUAAUGAUACCCAUGAACCAGGAAUUCCUUGUAAGGGUGGCUCAACACACUGCCCUGAAUCUUGUCCCUGAGCUUUGUACACACCGCCCGUCGCUCCUACUGAUUGGACUAGGGGAUGAAUUACCCGGAAGCAAUGAAGGGUGUUAAGUCAACUAGUUUAGAAGAAGGAGAAGUCGUAACAAGGUAAUA
RNAcentral lists this ribosomal RNA (1486 nucleotides) under Trichonympha sp. 2 PJK-2009. RNAcentral's name for it is "SSU rRNA". It matches the Rfam family "Eukaryotic small subunit ribosomal RNA". The record is from RNAcentral. Lineage: Eukaryota; Parabasalia; Trichonymphida; Trichonymphidae.